This 1023-nucleotide ribosomal RNA is filed under the name Streptomyces sp. Its description in RNAcentral is "bacterial SSU rRNA". It matches the Rfam family "Bacterial small subunit ribosomal RNA", at positions 56 to 1061 of the family's 1533-position model. The record is from RNAcentral. Lineage: Bacteria; Bacillati; Actinomycetota; Actinomycetes; Kitasatosporales; Streptomycetaceae.
UGCAAGUCGACGAUGAACCCACUUCGGGUUGUGGGGGAUUAGUGGGUCGAACGGGGGUGAGUGUAAACAACGUGGGGCAAUCUGCCCUGCACUCUUGGGACAAAGGCCCUGGAAACGGGGUCUUAAUACCGGAUACCGGACCACCUUCAGGCAUCUGAUGGUGGGUGGAAAGCUCCGGCGGUGCAGGGAUGAGCCUCGCGGCCUUCAGCUUGUUUGGUGAGGUAACGGCUCACCAAGGCGACGACGGGUAGCCGGCCUGAGAGGGCGACCGGCCACACUGGGACUGAGACACGGCCCAGACUCCUACGGGAGGCAGCAGUGGGGAAUAUUGCACAAUGGGCGAAAGCCUGAUGCAGCGACGCCGCGUGAGGGAUGACGGCCUUCGGGUUGUAAACCUCUUUCAGCAGGGAAGAAGCGCAAGUGACGGUACCUGCAGAAGAAGCGCCGGUCUAACUACGUGCCAGCAGCCGCGGUAAUACGUAGGGCGCAAGCGUUGUCCGGAAUUAUUGGGCGUAAAGAGCUCGUAGGCGGCUUGUCGCGUCGGAUGUGAAAGCCCGGGGGCUUAACCCCGGGUCUGCAUUCGAUACGGGCAGGCUAGAGUGUGGUAGGGGAGAUCGGAAUUCCUGGUGUAGCGGUGAAAUGCGCAGAUAUCAGGAGGAACACCGGUGGCGAAGGCGGAUCUCUGGGCCAUUACUGACGCUGAGGAGCGAAAGCGUGGGGAGCGAACAGGAUUAUGAUACCCUGGUAGUCCACGCCGUAAACGUUGGGAACUAGGUGUUGGCGACAUUCCACGUCGUCGGUGCCGCAGCUAACGCAUUAAGUUCCCCCGGCGUGGGGGGGGAGGGCCGCAAGGCUAAAAACUCAAAGGAAUUGACGGGGGGCCCGCACAAGCAGCGGAAGCAUGUGGCUUAAUUCGACGCAUCGCGAAGAACCUUACCAAGGGCUUGACAUACACCGGAAUCCCGAGAGAUAGUGCCCCCUUGUGGUACGGUGUACAGGUGGUGCAUGGCUGUCGCUCAGCUC